Molecule: ribosomal RNA, 252 nt
Filed under: uncultured bacterium
Lineage: Bacteria
Description: partial 16S ribosomal RNA
Rfam family: Bacterial small subunit ribosomal RNA
Source: RNAcentral
UACGUAGGGUGCGAGCGUUGUCCGGAUUUAUUGGGCGUAAGAGCUCGUAGGCGGUUCGUCGCGUCGGCUGUGAAAACCCGGAGCUCAACUCCGGGCCUGCAGUCGAUACGGGCGGACUUGAGUUCGGCAGGGGAGACUGGAAUUCCUGGUGUAGCGGUGAAAUGCGCAGAUAUCAGGAGGAACACCGGUGGCGAAGGCGGGUCUCUGGGCCGAUACUGACGCUGAGGAGCGAAAGCGUGGGGAGCGAACAGG